Long non-coding RNA from Lethenteron reissneri (Far Eastern brook lamprey), 4902 nucleotides. RefSeq lists it as uncharacterized. Lineage: Eukaryota; Metazoa; Chordata; Hyperoartia; Petromyzontiformes; Petromyzontidae. The record is from RefSeq and is a predicted model, not a curated record.
GUUCGACUGCCUUCUUCGGAUAUAGUCAGUGGGAGCCAAGUUACUCCCCGUGGCUGCGUCUCUAUCACUGUGUCCUCAAGCGUUCGGAAACACACUGAAUCAACGUUGUCAACACUUUCCACUCAUUAUGGCUUGGACGCACCUUCUCUUCAUCUGCAUUGUGCAGUUUGCCGCUGUCUCAGCCUCAGCCGCCAAGGCGAAUACCACCGCGGACAUCAGCGUCGGGUCAAACGAGACGACAACACAAACGUCGUUGUUGACAGCUGCGCCGAGUUCGAUCCCGACAGCGGACCGCACUCUGAGCGCGACGCAAAACGCGACGAAUUUAAGUGGCAACGCGUCCGCCACCACCACCGCCAACACCACCAUCGCCGCGUCUUCGAUCUCAACGUCAACGAUCAAUUGUCCAACGACUAUCGCGAUUAGCAGAACGACGACGAUCGCAGUGUCGUCUCUGCCGAAAACGCACGUUAUUGCUGGGUCCGCGGCCGCCGUCGUUCUGCUGGUGCUCGUGACGGGGAUGUACUUGUGCUACAGGAGCAGGAGGUACAACUCCUUUUGGUUUCCUCGUGGAAUGGAUUCAGAACUGGGCAUGAAUGAAAUGAAUAGAAAAAACGCCGACGCGGUGUCGUCGACGUCGUCGGAGAGCUCCGUCUACUCCCCCUGCCGAGAUCGCCGAGAUUGCCGCGCGGGCCAAUGAGCUGGACCUCUCCCGCAAGGCCCUGCACACGGAGACGGACUCCAACAAGGAUGACUGCGAGAUGACGACUGAAAAUGACGGGGAAGAUAUCCACCCAAGCGGCGGCAAUGACAUCGUCGAGAAUGGAACCGACAACGGCAGCAGUGAUGCCACCACUCACCUCAUCGAGCAAGAUUCUGAGGUUGAUGGAGCGGUCGUUCAUCCAUAAGUCUUCCCACAGAUGUACAGGGAACACACCAUGCAGGACGCCCCCCUCUACGAUGAACCCUUAACCCCAGGUUAACAAGAGACGGUCAGCGAGCAUCUGGAUAGCUGUUCAACGCCUCGCAGAGAGAGAGAGACACCGAGCCACCACAACGAUCGGAAAGCUGAUGAUGGUACCAAGGUGCCCUCAUUCUUCAACUCUGAUCGCCUCCUCCCUUGUGUGUCGUGUGAUUGUGUUGUUGUAUCGCGCUUCGUGUGACUGUGUGGUCGUACGAUGGGCUCCCCAGUGCACGCAUUUUUACAUUGGCGUUGACUGCCGUGUGUUACAAUGAACACAAAAAAAUAUGGCUUUCAGAACAAUAGAUUUUUUUUAUUUCAUUGUUGGAGGGUGUCUCGUCUAGUUAACAGUUUAUAAUGUAGAAUUAAUAUGAAUUUACAUACCAAGUGCUGAUAUAGGAACCAGUAAAAUAUUUUUAUCGGGUCAAGAGCUAAUUUACACACCUAAAAUAUUGGCCUACAAUUUUUUUAAUCCUAUGCACAUGUAUAUUUAAGGCUGAACAUCACUAACAUAGACGCGUGCUCACAAUACAAGUCUAUUCGGCACAGAUGUUUUCCCAUGUUAAACUGUGCAGUGUUUAUUUUUCAAUUAAUACCCUCUUAUAAAAAAUGUAAAUCAUCCGACUUGCAGGUUAAUGUCAUCUUUGCCAACUGUGUAUUAUCAAGCAGCCACAUUUUAAAACACUAAAUGGCAUCUAUAUGAGUAUAUAUCUCAUUGUCAGAAUAUAGUGUGCAGAUCUAUAUACAAUAAUACACAAUUGAAAUCAACUUAAUGUCAAUAUAAUCAUAGAUAAAUGACCCAAAGUUUUUUUUUUUAAAUAAUACAGCCAUCACAGGUGUAAAUUACUUAAAGAGGCCAGAAGCAACUCGUAUAACCACUUCGUACGUGAUGGUCCCGCACAUCCUACAUGCGAACAUUGAUAUUCGAUCAAAUUAUUCAAUCAAGCCGUCACAAAUAACCCAUCACAACACAUCGGGACACGGUGGCCUCUUCGUUCGAUCACCAAAACGAGAACGUUUUGACCGCGGCCGAGGAGAUGCUAUCCAUCGUAAAAACUAAAACUCUCACCCCAGCGUUGCGAGAAGGUUUGGAAACGGAGCUGUGUCCGUGACCUCUUUACCUCAUUCAACUCGCUCCCCCUUGCUCCCUUCAAUGGGUGUUGUGCCCACUUGAGCCGGCCGAUGGCUACGAUGGGGGAAACGUGAUACUGGUGAUGGAUUUGCUCAGAGUCAGAAUGUUUCUCUGGUUAUAUUAAAGGCCGCACGAGUAUUCACGUUUCAAGCCGUCACGUUUUGCUCCUGAUUAGGUUUUUUUUUGUGGCGAACUAACAAAGUGAGGUUCAGUUAAUAGGUAAAAUAUGUACGAGUGUAUGUGUGUGUGUAAAUAUACUGUAUAUGACACAGUAUUCAUAUACUGUAUUUUUUUGUUACAAGCUUAUUGGAAAAGUGCAGUUUUAUUUUGUUCAGGGUUAAGCAAACGAGACGGUAAGUCAAUCAACAGACCGCAUGUGGUGGGGUUACGUUUGGGUGCUCCCACAACUUCCAAGAUGCCAGGCUAGCAGGGAAGAGUAGGCCAAAUUACCCUCCUUGAGCAAUAAAUUACAGGGCUGCACCUUAUAUAUCUUAGAAUGUGAAAAGAACAUCAUUAUACAUCUCAGGAAUGAUUAUGGUCACGAUCAAGUGAGACAUGAGUGGAUCAAAUAUAUGUGGUCUUGAAACUGUGCAUAUAGCAGUCAAUUAUGGUUAACAUAUGCAAAUAGUGUAUAUGAUUGCUGCUAAAUACAUUUAACAAAAUACGAGUACAUACAUAACACCCAAUACAUUCAACAUUGUUUUGAAAUCUCCACUGGUCACGUGCUCAAAGAAACGCUUUUUUGUGACCUUAACUUUCACGAAUAAUCAAGCUGAAAAACGUAUAAUUUGUUAUCAGCAUCGGCAAUUGGGGAAAAUUAAUAUAUCUUAAAUAUAUGUUAAAAUAAACUGUAAGAAUUACGUAUGUUAAUAAAAAGACAGUUAUGUUGGAUGAAAUUCAACUAACUCUGUUACGUGUGCCCCUGGUGUUUAUAAUGAUGCCAAAAUAUGAACCCAAUACAAACCUCAGUGUCAAGACUCUUGAGGAGGGAACCGCAUUGGGAUGCUUGGCCAAUUCUGUUUUGGAGACUUUCUGGUACGUGGGAGGAGACUGGAAUACCCGGAGAACACCCAUACGUAAGAGUGCUAACACACCCAAACUCUGCACAGAUUGAUUCAACAAUCCAUUGGUGGAGUGCGAUCUCCUGACCUCCCCACAGGCCCUGCCUACGACAUCUGGCAAGCCCCCGUGGUCAUCCAUUCAAGCAGUAACCAGGCGGAACUUGCUUAGCUUCUGAACUCUGAUUUGUUUGGGCACGUUGAGGGUCAUUGUGAUCACGGGAAUGUCUAUGACAGUGCAUCAGAGGCCCCGUCUGGGUGGCUAUAACACUGGUCAACAACAAAAAAAUUAUUUUUUUCUGGCCUGGACUUUUGCAGCUGUUUUAGACUAAUUUCAGAGUGCCAAUUCCAAAUCUGAUCUCAGAUUUGCUCUAUCACAUCUCAUUCUUCUGCUAUCGGCAUACCCCAUUUUCAUUGAUUUUACCCGAAAUUAACUCUGUCACUUAUGAUUGCAAGUUGUUGCGAGUCAGUGACUGCUUUAGUGUUAAAAUAUGGUGCUGUAUUUUUAGGAUAGUGUGUUUAUAAUAUCAUUUUAUGUAGAUAUCCACAUUUAUUUAAUAUUUUUCUUCUGCAGUUUUUAUUGAAAAUGCAAUAUUCGAUAUCUCAACAACCUGAUGUGAUAGACAAAAACUGAUGCCAGAUUUCGAAUCAGCACCCCAAAAUUACCUUAAAACCGUUGGAAUACCUUAUGCCAGAAAAAGUGUGUUGACCAGUGUAAUAAGACCCCUGCUAUGUGGCGGUGGGACAUUGGUGGACCAUUAAAUCAGUCGGCUCUCUUUCCAGUCACCUUGAUUGUUUCCAGCUCCAAAAGUAGGAUUGUCCAAUACUUUACCUCGAUAUAUAGAUAGAGCCCUUUCUAAAUACGGACCAACGUAGCAUGAACACGUGGUUCUCCUUUGAGAACCACGUGAAGUGUUUCAUUCUACGGUUCGUUAUGAAGAUCAGUUUGAAGCUCAUAUUUUCCGGGUAAAGUCCAGACCGAUGCAAUGUAAGUUAAACAUACGUAAGUUAAACAUGGCUAUUUUUAUUUUCCAAAUGUGUUUAUUUAAUAUAGUCAUGUGUAUAUAUGUGGCAAAGUCAAGGGUCGUGAUCGGGCCAAAAGGGCUUUGUAUAUUCUUGGAAGAACAAUUUAAGAUGAAAAGAAUGUUUAUAGUAAAUGUCUAUUGAAGUGUGUGCUUAAAGAGGGUCUAUAAGUAUGCUUGAGGACAGGUUAACUUUAAAUUGUCUUGACUUCCCCAACCUCUCUUGAGUACAGACUGGCUCCACUUUCAUUUCCAUCAGUGGGUAUUUGAGCUACAUUAUCAUUGGCCGGUUGCGGCAGGGGGUGUGUUGCGCAGUGGUUAGAGAACCCAGAAAUCUGAGUUCAAUUCCCAGUUACAGCUUAAAAUUAGUGGCAAGUGACAUCUAAAUCAACUCGACCAUCACCAACCCACGAUGACCAGCGUGUUAAAGUAUGGUCAAAUAACCCCUCUUGAUGGAUAUGGCAUGGCGAGGCCUUCACCCAGCAGCUGAUUGACAAUGGGCUGUAAAUUUUUGACGCUACAUUUUGGUCGUGUUAUUCACCGUGUUAACCAGUCUUCAAACAAGGCCCCAAAAAUGCUGUAACUUGCUUAAUGUUGACGUGAAUAUCCCAUGGAUUUAGUUACUUUGUGUCACGUGAAAAAAACCUGAUGUAACACAACUUGCUUUAUGAUAAUUCAAAGAGUGUUCGUCGGGGUGUAACGAUUCAUCUAUUGAUUUAAAUUCUUAAG